RNAcentral lists this non-coding RNA (197 nucleotides) under Desulfosporosinus meridiei. Lineage: Bacteria; Bacillati; Bacillota; Clostridia; Eubacteriales; Desulfitobacteriaceae. The record is from RNAcentral.
GCAUAUUUAUUCUGCUCAGGUGACUGCAGUUUGUGCUCAAAUGCAGUUUAAAAGGGAAGCAGGUGUAAAUCCUGCACGGUCCCGCCGCUGUAUGGGAAGAUAUGUUUCCUUAAUUUUUGCCACUGGUUUGUUUCGGGAAGGCAGGGAAAUAUGAAUGAAGCCCAAGUCAGAAGACCUGCCUGGGUCAGAUGUGCUGA